AGGAGCAUAUAACGGCAACCGUGCCUUACGGCUCGCUAUAUGCGCCGGUGAAUGACGAGCAUUCGAGCGAAUGGGACCAAUCAGACUGAUUGGCCGACCGGUAUUUACAUUUCUGCGGGCAAGUCUGCCUCUGCAGCCUGCCUCGAGCAUCGCCAGGAGAUUCGAGACCAGAGAACAUCGAGGGCUGGCUGCCGGCUCCCGCGACGAGACGAACCGUGCAAACUGGAGACGAAAAGUCGUCGUCUCUCGACAACAGAGUACCUCUUGCGGGACCAUUAUUCUCUAAAACAAGCACGCUUUGACGCGACCGAUCGAUCCUUAAUUAAACGGUGUAACUUUCACGAAAGCUUGCACACACAGCCUCGUUUCGACCGGUAAUUUUAGUCCGUGUUCACACGCCAGGUUCCAGGUUUCACGGUUUACGAUCGUGGCCAAAGAAGUUGCUUCCCGGGGAAAGUUGGACACGGGAAGUUUGUCCGGAGGUUCGUUGCCGGAAGUUGCCAGUAUCUCGCUAGAACGAGGCCUCAGCGAGAAAAGUUUUUCGGUAUCUUCUGGCAUAACGUUACAUAGAGACGUCUACGGUCUACGGAAUAGUUUAUGGUUGUUGAGUGACGCGACGUCGCAUAACGAAAACGAUGCAUCGGGACUAGCUAAUUAAUAACCGCGGGUAACAAGCAGCAGAUGGAAUGAUGGCAGAAAGUUGGAUAGCACAGACCCUUUGGCCACGGUCGGUCUGUCGACCGACUGGUUGGGACACACACCCACGCGCUGCCCAUUAUUGCGCACGUGUGGUCCGGAUGGUCGCGUGCAUGCUAUUAGCAAAAAGGAGUGUCCCGAACACGUUACCGGUCCACACGGUAAAACAACUGUCCCCCUUCUUUGCAACGACCUUUCCGAGCGGCGGCCGUGAAAGGCGAGAAUACACUCUCGAGCACCGGUUUCCGGUUCUGACACCCAAGCUGCGUAUCUCUGUCCCUCUUUCGAAAUGGCUCUUCUUUUAUUUCGACUGGCUGUUCAUUAGGCCGCUAAUUAACGCUUAACGUCGGACGUGUUUGCAUUCACGCCGUCCUGCUACACAGAGAGGAUCAUCUCGUUCCCUUUCUUGCGUUAAGCAGCAGCUGAACCAUUAUGGUCAUUCGGUCAUAGCCCGAGGUUCUUUGGCCAGAGUUAUGGAUGACGAUAUACGUGAAGCUUCUAGAUAUUUUCGUGCCGAGGCGAGACGGGAACUACUUUCUGUAUACGUCUCAGAGAGACACGUGGAGUGAUUCCUCGAUCAAGGUUCUCGUGAAGGUUCAUCGAGGACCCGAGUUAAUUAUGAGAAUCAGAGGUACUGGUCACAGAGUGGUCCGUGAAGCACGUUUCGGAGUGUUAACGCGCCGCGUAAUAAUCUCGCGUCCGGUUUUAAUAACGUCGUACGGAGUGGCCGUUUCGCGAACUCCGUGAAUAUAUUCAGGGACAAUGUUAUUCCAGCUAGCCAUGCGGCCAUAUAUCAGCAACGAUUCUAUGCGCGGUCGCGUGCGGAGUAAUUACUUUUCGGUGCGCGGAGGCAUCGCUCAAAAGGCAACAUUUGCACGCGACGUGGAACCGACGUGCAGCGAAACGCACGCACGCACGUAUACGCGCGUGCAUUCGCGUACCCACACGUAGAUUCGUUCGCGUGUGUUGUCCGUGUACGGAAGGUAUAAAAAAAAGAACGAAAGAAAAAAAACCAUGCGGCUGCUGCCACGUUUCGAGGAUCGAGGGCGACAAUGGCUUCCUGUUUCAUCCCUGCGGGGCGUCCAGCUGUCUGUCUGGACUAUGGUUGCACGAAUGAAUCGUCCUCCGACUCCAUUGUGCCCGUUUUCCAGUUUUGCGUCGGGAUUGUUGCCUGCCAUGACAUCUUCACCGACCGAUCCUUCAUCAUUUUAGCGUUCUGUUUUCCCUAGUCCUCUUCCCAUCCUUUCGAAAAGUGACGCUUUUAUUCGGCAUCGUUGACUUUGGACGCUACCGUUGAAACCGUUCCAUGGAUUUAUACUUCUGGCGGGCUGUUGUGACGAACUGGUUCACGGAAUUUUUUGGGGAUUCUUUCGGUUCAGUUGUGAAAAGAACCAUCAACUCCCUGUCAUUUUUAUAUUACUUAUGAUUUAUUAGAAUAUUAAAGAGCAAGUAAUAACAGACAGGUUCUAACAUGCUGUCUUGAAAAUCCUUUGAGAGACGAAUCACAUGGAUCAGCCAUUUAUCACUUUGAUACUGAUCUCUUAAUACAAAUUUUUCUUUGAUUUAUCCGUCAGGAAUGAUUAAACGUUUUACAAUGAAAUAUAGCUAACGAUACAAACAGGCACUGUAUUUAGUUUGUUGUAGAUUAGUUUUAAAUAUCGUAAUAAAAUAUUGAAAACCAAAUAACAAUUUAAAAAUCUUAAUUGUUCCGCUAUUUACAUACCACGAUCUUUGAUGCCCUUACAAAAUCUUCAUCGUAAAUCAACGAAUUAAAGAAAAAUACAAUACAGCCUACUUUCUCGUUUCCAAUCUCCAAGAGGCUUCUUAAAAAGAUAACGUAUCGCAUUGGAUUUUUACGACAAGUCUCCGUUUCUCCUUCACUCUCUUUUUCUUUUUCUUUUUCGAUAGCUCCACGCCCUGGAUAAUCGAACGAGUGUAGUCAGCGAUAUACCGACGUCCCGAAGUCAUCUUUCAAAGGCAACCCCGCGACUCGAUCCGAGCCCGGGAUCGCCGUGUACGGGAUGAGCUACGGCAAACGAGGUAUUUCGAAAGGUUGGAACAGGGAGGCGUAGGCUGUUGCAGUUCGCGGAUGCGUAUACGUAAUGACCUUACGCGGCGCUUUUUUACGAUGCUUAUCAAAUGCAAAUCCUUCUUUAUUGCGAUUGGUAUUCUUAUUACGCUCCUUCUUUCUCCGCUCGACGUCAUCCGCACAUUUCGCCACGGUUUCUUUCUUUUCCCCUGC
Long non-coding RNA from Bombus terrestris (buff-tailed bumblebee), 2938 nucleotides. RefSeq lists it as uncharacterized. The record is from RefSeq and is a predicted model, not a curated record. Lineage: Eukaryota; Metazoa; Arthropoda; Insecta; Hymenoptera; Apidae. The transcript has 3 exons.